UCUUCCGUAGUAUAGUGGUCAGUAUGCAAGCUUGUCACAAAACAACACGCUUGAGACCCGGGUUCAAUUCCCGGCGGGAGAG
Molecule: transfer RNA, 82 nt
Filed under: Fusarium sp. AF-6
Lineage: Eukaryota; Fungi; Ascomycota; Sordariomycetes; Hypocreales; Nectriaceae
Also listed under: 2 other names
Rfam family: tRNA
About the family: Transfer RNA (tRNA) molecules are approximately 80 nucleotides in length. Their secondary structure includes four short double-helical elements and three loops (D, anti-codon, and T loops).
Source: Rfam by way of RNAcentral